This 28-nucleotide non-coding RNA is filed under the name Rattus norvegicus (Norway rat). The record is from RNAcentral. Lineage: Eukaryota; Metazoa; Chordata; Mammalia; Rodentia; Muridae.
UCAGACAAUGAAAAGUCAGCAGACGUGC